CUUGACCUCGGAUCAGGUAGGGAUACCCGCUGAACUUAAGCAUAUCAAUAAGCGGAGGAAAAGAAACCAACAGGGAUUGCCCCAGUAACGGCGAGUGAAGCGGCAGCAGCUCAAAUUUGAAAUCUGGCGCCUCCGGCGUCCGAGUUGUAAUUUGCAGAGGACGCCUCGGGGCCCGCCCGGUCUAAGUCCCUUGGAACAGGGUGUCGCAGAGGGUGAGAAUCCCGUAUGUGACUGGACUCGGUCCCCGUGUGAGGCUCCUUCGACGAGUCGAGUUGUUUGGGAAUGCAGCUCUAAAUGGGAGGUAAAUUUCUUCUAAAGCUAAAUACCGGCCAGAGACCGAUAGCGCACAAGUAGAGUGAUCGAAAGAUGAAAAGCACUUUGAAAAGAGAGUUAAAAAGUACGUGAAAUUGUUGAAAGGGAAGCGCCUACGACCAGACUCGGCCGCGGUUGCUCAGCCCGUCUUAUGACCGGCGUAUCUUCCGCGGCCGGGCCAGCAUCGGUUCCGACGGCCGGAUAAAGGCCCGGGGAAUGUAGCUCCCCUCGGGGAGUGUUAUAGCCUCGGGUGCAAUGCGGCCCGUCGGGACCGAGGACCGCGUUCGCUAGGAUGCUGGCGUAAUGGUCGUCGGCGGCCCGUCUUGAAACACGGACCAAGGAGUCUAACAUCUGUGCGAGUGUUAGGGUGUCAAACCCUUGCGCGUAAUGAAAGUGAACGGAGGUGGGAACCUUUACCGGUGCACCAUCGACCGAUCCGGAUGUCUUCGGAUGGAUUUGAGUAAGAGCAUAAAUGUUGGGACCCGAAAGAUGGUGAACUAUGCCUGAAUAGGGUGAAGCCAGAGGAAACUCUGGUGGAGGCUCGCAGCGGUUCUGACGUGCAAAUCGAUCGUCAAAUUUGGGCAUAGGGGCGAAAGACUAAUC
Molecule: ribosomal RNA, 915 nt
Filed under: Cladoriella eucalypti
Lineage: Eukaryota; Fungi; Ascomycota; Dothideomycetes
Description: eukaryotic LSU rRNA
Rfam family: Eukaryotic large subunit ribosomal RNA
Source: RNAcentral